RNAcentral lists this ribosomal RNA (521 nucleotides) under bacterium enrichment culture clone G12_2-G10_084 (1/59). Its description in RNAcentral is "bacterial SSU rRNA". It matches the Rfam family "Bacterial small subunit ribosomal RNA", at positions 73 to 605 of the family's 1533-position model. The record is from RNAcentral.
GGUUCUUUCGGGAACUGGAGAGUGGCGCACGGGUGAGUAACGCGUGGGGACCUACCUCUUAGUGGGGGAUAACGGUUGGAAACGACCGCUAAUACCGCAUACGCCCUUCGGGGGAAAGAUUUAUCGCUAAGAGAUGGACCCGCGUUGGAUUAGAUAGUUGGUAAGGUAACGGCUUACCAAGGCGACGAUCUCUAGCUGUUCUGAGAGGAAGAUCAGCCACACUGGGACUGAGACACGGCCCAGACUCCUACGGGAGGCAGCAGUGGGGAAUAUUGCACAAUGGGGGAAACCCUGAUGCAGCCAUGCCGCGUGUGUGAAGAAGGCCUUCGGGUUGUAAAGCACUUUCAGUUGUGAGGAAAAGUUAGUAGUUAAUACCUGCUAGCCGUGACGUUAACAACAGAAGAAGCACCGGCUAACUCCGUGCCAGCAGCCGCGGUAAUACGGAGGGUGCGAGCGUUAAUCGGAAUUACUGGGCGUAAAGCGCACGCAGGCGGUUUGUUAAGCUAGAUGUGAAAGCCCCG